This is a long non-coding RNA of Ictalurus punctatus (channel catfish), 2204 nucleotides long. Lineage: Eukaryota; Metazoa; Chordata; Actinopteri; Siluriformes; Ictaluridae. The record is from Ensembl.
AUCGUUUAUUUUCUGCUUAAUGUUGAAUUUGUUUUGUUUAGAGUGGGUCAUUUUUUUCUAUUUCUAACUUUGUUGUGUUUAGUCUGGGUUAUUUUCUUCUAACUGUUGUAUAUUAACAGGUUUCUUUUACUUCUAACUUUUGUACUUUGUUUUGACUUGUUAGCUAUUUUCAUUCGUUUGGGAAAUUUCUUAAACUUUUACUUUAUUUUGUUUAACAAGGGUAUUUAUUUAGGGUUUUUGUUUUGCGUCAAACAUUUGUUUACUUCUAGCUUGUUUUGUUUAGAGUGCAACAUGAUUUUAUUGUUCAUAUUUAUUUAGUUAUUUGUUCUUAUAACUUUAGUUUAGCGUGGUUUAGUUUAGCAUGAAUUUAGUUUAGCGUGGGAUUUGUUUAGCUUUAUUUUAGUUUAGCGUGGGAUUAUUUAAGAGUGGGUUUAGUUUAGCGUGGGAUUUGUUUAGUGUGCGGAUUGUUUAGAGUGGGAUUAGUUUGUGGGUGUUAUAUCAUGGGUAAUUGUCUAUUAACAUCCAACUUGUUUUGUUAGUGUGGGUCAUUUUAUUUUAUGAGUUUUUUUGUGUGGCUCAUUUUUACUUUUUCAUUUUGUGUUUAACAUUGGUUUGGUAUUUUUUUAUUCUAGCUGGUUUCAUUUAGCGCUGAUCAUUUUUCACUUUGUAACUUUUGUUUUUUCUUUUUGCUUGUAUCCUGUAGCCAUGUGCAAGAAUCCAUUAUUGAAGUCUGAGCUUCUCAGCAGGCUGUUAUUUAACACAGAACGAUUCUGGGAAUUGGCUUUUAUAGAGAUCUGACACUUUGGCUCUUUGGUUUCUGGCUUUGUUUAAGACUUUCUCUCUAUGAACUCCCGGGAGACGCGAGCGAGAGACGUGAGAUUAAAGUGUACUUUAUUAUUUUUUACCCUCUCUUUGUUUUGUAAAAGUACAUGUAGGACUGUUUCGGUCUCUCACUCAGGACUGUGAUACGCAUGAACGUGUGGGAGGCGCCGUACAGUGGGGAGACGAUUAAAAUGAGACACAGGUAAAGGACUGAAAGAAAGUCAGGCAAGCUGCUGCUCCUCAUGCACCUGAAUGGUGGAAUGUGGUAUUAACGAUGGAGAGAGGAAAAAACUUCGCUUUGAGUGACUGCUGCAACAUGAGCACAAUUACAACUAAUGCAAUUAAUGUCUUUAAAUAAGACAUCAAGAAUGACUUAUACCGCAGCGUGCUGACGAGACGUGUGAGAGGCUAUACUCGAAUCUAUACAUACAGGAGAGAGAGACAGCGAGAGAGAGAGAGAGAGAGAGAGAGACAUCGAGAGAGAGAGAGAGAGAGAGAGACAUCGAGAGAGAGAGAGAGAGAGAGAGAGAGACAUAGAGAGAGAGUGACAUCAAGAGAGAGAGAGAGAGAGAGAGAGAGAGAGAGAGAGAGACAGCAAGAGAGCGAGAGAGAGAGAGAAAGAGAGAGACAGUGAGAGAGAGACAUCGAGAGAGAGAGACAGUGAGAGAGAGAGAUACAUUGAGAGAGACAGCGUGAGAGAGAGAGAGACAGUGAGCGAGAGAGAGACAACCGAGAGAGAGAGAGAGAGACAUCGAGAGAGAGAGAGACAUUGAGAGAGAGACAUCAAGAGAGGAGAGAUAGACAUCAAAAGAGAGACAUCGAGAGAGAGAGAGACAUUGAGAGAGAGACACUGAGAGAGAGAGAGACAUUGAGAGAGACAUUGAGAGAGAGAGAGAGAGACAUCAAGAUAGAGAGAGAGAUAGACAUCGAGAGAGAGAGAGAUUGAGAGAGAGACAUCGAGAGAGAGAUCGAGAGAGAGACAUCAAGAGAGAGAGAGAGACAUCGGGAGAGAGAGACAUCGAGAGAGAGAUCGAGAGAGAGACAUCGAGAGAGAGACAAUCGAGAGAGAGACAUCGAGAGAGAGAGACAUCGAGAGAGAGAUCGAGAGAGAGAGAUGGAGAGAGCGAGACAGCGAGAGGGACACACACACACACACACACACACACACACACACACACAGAGUUUAUGGUUUGUGAGAGUGAGCGCUCACAUGACACGACGUCCAGUAAAUCAUCAGCCUUCAGAAAAGUGAUAUUUUGUAAACAAAUCUUUCAAAUGUGUUAGAAAAUAAAUAAAUAAAUAGCCAUGUCAUGUUUAUUGUACAACUUUAUAUCAAACAUUACAAAUGACCACACACACACACACACACACACACACACACA